This is a non-coding RNA of Acanthosepion pharaonis, 110 nucleotides long. Lineage: Eukaryota; Metazoa; Mollusca; Cephalopoda; Sepiida; Sepiidae. The record is from the annotation of a GenBank genome assembly.
UUACGGUCAUAUCACAGUGAAACACCUGUUCCCGUACGAUCAGCGAAGUUAAGCAACGUCGAGACUGGCUAGUUCCUAAAUGAGGGAUCGCUUUGGAAUACCAUGUGUUA